GAUGAACGCUGGCGGCGUGCUUAACACAUGCAAGUCGAACGGAAAGGCUCCUGCUUGCAGGGGUACUCGAGUGGCGAACGGGUGAGUAACACGUGGGUGAUCUGCCCUGCACUUCGGGAUAAGCCUGGGAAACUGGGUCUAAUACCGGAUAGGACGAUGGAUUGGAUGCCAUUGUUGAAAGUUUUUCGGUGUGGGAUGAGUUCUCGGCCUAUCAGCUUGUUGGUGGGGUAAUGGCAUACCAAGGCGUCGACGGGUAGCCGGCCUGAGAGGGUGUACGGCGACAUUGGUACUGCGAUACGGCCCAGACGGCUACGGGAGGCAGCAGUGGGGAAUAUUGCACAAUGGGCGCAAGCCUGAUGCAGCGACGCCGCGUGCGGGAUGACGGCCUUCGGGUUGUAAACACCUUUCGCUAGGGACGAAGCGCAAGUGACGGUACCUGGAGAAGAAGCACCGGCUAACUACGUG
Molecule: ribosomal RNA, 465 nt
Filed under: uncultured bacterium
Lineage: Bacteria
Description: partial 16S ribosomal RNA
Rfam family: Bacterial small subunit ribosomal RNA
Source: RNAcentral